This is a long non-coding RNA of Magallana angulata, 1702 nucleotides long. RefSeq lists it as uncharacterized. NCBI's taxonomy places the organism in Eukaryota, Metazoa, Mollusca, Bivalvia, Ostreida, Ostreidae. The record is from RefSeq and is a predicted model, not a curated record. The transcript is spliced from 3 exons.
UUGCCUUAACGUCUUAUUUUCUGUUAUCGGAAAAAACCCUUUUGAUAGAACACCUUUUGAUUUGUUAAUUAAUCUACAACUAAACUUUAAACCAAUUAAAAAUGAGAAAAGAAAACAUUUAAUAUAAUGUUUUCAAAUAUAUGUGGAUGUGCUGUACAUGUAGUAAAUGACAACCACAUAUUUCCGGUGACUCGAGUGAUUUGUACUUCAGCUAUUUAUGUAGCAAUAAAUAACCAAAAAAUCACUCUUAUAUGAUAAAUUAUAGAUAAAUACAUGUACAAAAUUUUAAUAAAUUAAAUGCAAGCAUUGAACGAAAAAAAGUACACGCAAUCCAUAAAAUAACUUUCAACUUUAUUUCCCGCAUAGCUGGUAAUGUCGUCGUGAUUUCACAUGAACAAAAAUCACACGUGCGAUACAUGUUUAAGUGUACAGAAGCUGAUCAGAAACACAACAGCGUCUUUCAUCUUGGGUUCUAUACACAACAGGUGUUAUUGUCUUAUUUUGUUUUUUGGCAAUUAUUGUACUUUACAACUAAAUCUGUAUAUUUGGAUGCUUUAUUAACAGGUGUACACGAGAUGCCAGUAUUCACUCCUUUCCACGGACACCUGUUAGGAGGAUUUUCAUUUGUUUGCUGCCUUUGUCUUGGGAGGUGGAGGCACCAGGGCAAUGAGGUCAUUUUGUCCCUUUAUGAUGCUGACAGAGAGUCCCUAACCAUCUGAUCCAUCAUGAUAGGCAUUUUUCUUUAUGAUGCAGUACUUGCUGAGAGAGAGAGAGAGAGUCUCAUACUCGGAUGAGCACAGCGUAGAUAUAAAUCAAAAUCCCGGACUUGUGUUUCAUACACAAUGAUGUAUAAGGUAUUUAUAAGGUUAAUGAAAAAGUCAAAUUUGACAAAUUCUGAGGUGAGUAAAAUGAUUAGUAUUAGAAUGAGGGUACUAAUGCACUUGGAUGUUGACACCUUAGAAUUGUUAAUACAGUGGGGCCUCAGAUAUCCGGACGCCAGAUAACCGGACGCUUCAGUUUACGGACGAUUUUAUUUGGGAACAGAUUUUUUUAUACGUUAUUUUCUCUCAUUUAUCUGGAAUUCUGUGUUCCGGAUCUGGACGGUCUAUUUUUACCACAAAACAUCGUUUUACUACUAAUCUUGCUUCAUUUAACCGGACAGUAAAAUUUCAUGAUACCAUACUCAGUACAAAAGAUUUCCCCUGUCAAUUAAGUUUCACACCUUUUUUACGUGCAAGACCCUCAUGAGUAGCUUGUAUAAACACACUGACAUCCCAAAUCACUUUCAAAAAUUGGAAAAUUGCGAACAACAGUGUAUCACACACAUACCACACUGAGACACAAAGAAUUUAGCUAGAUAUGGUUAUCACUAUUGUCCGGUUAAUAUUUCAUGACAAAAUAAUAAAAUAAAGUUCUUUAUAUCUAAAAACGUUCAUAUCAACAGACAACUCUAGCAUAUGUUGCUAUAUGGUAUGAAAGGCAAAAAACCUAGUAUCAACACUGGGAGCCAUUGUAUACAAAUACAUUAUCAUUCAUGACAACGAUAGACACAUUUCAGAUAUCCGGACGCUUCACCUAUCCGGACGAUUGGACUUGGGAACGAAAGCGUCCGGAUAACUGAGGCUCCACUGUACAAGAUUUAGCAGAGCAGAAACAGAUAGGGCUAGGUGAUGUGCUAUAUAUAUAAAUGAAAUAAUUUAUA